CGAUAACGAACGAGACCUUAACCUGCUAAAUAGUUCUGCGAACCUGCGUUCGUAGCUAACUUCUUAGAGGGACUGACUACGUUUAGUGGUCGGAAGUUUGAGGCAAUAACAGGUCUGUGAUGCCCUUAGAUGUUCUGGGCCGCACGCGCGCUACACUGAUCGGUUCAUCGAGUUUACAACCUUGAUUGAUAGGUCUGGGUAAGCCGGUCGUGCUGGGGAUAGAUCAUUGCGAUUAUUGAUCUUCAACGAGGAAUUCCUAGUAAACGCGAGUCAUCAACUCGCAUUGAUUACGUCCCUGCCCUUUGUACACACCGCCCGUCGCUACUACCGGAUUGAAUGGCU
Molecule: ribosomal RNA, 342 nt
Filed under: uncultured fungus
Lineage: Eukaryota; Fungi
Description: bacterial SSU rRNA
Rfam family: Eukaryotic small subunit ribosomal RNA
Source: RNAcentral